This 301-nucleotide ribosomal RNA is filed under the name uncultured bacterium. Its description in RNAcentral is "partial 16S ribosomal RNA". It matches the Rfam family "Bacterial small subunit ribosomal RNA", at positions 509 to 807 of the family's 1533-position model. The record is from RNAcentral.
CAGCAGCCGCGGUAAUACGGAGGGUGCAAGCGUUAAUCGGAAUUACUGGGCGUAAAGCGCACGCAGGCGGUCUGACAAGUCAGAUGUGAAAUCCCCGGGCUUAACCUGGGAACUGCAUUUGAAACUGUCAGGCUGGAGUCUUGUAGAGGGGGGUGGAAUUCCAGGUGUAGCGGUGAAAUGCGUAGAGAUCUGGAGGAAUACCGGUGGCGAAGGCGGCCCCCUGGACAAAGACUGACGCUUAGGUGCGAAAGCGUGGGGAGCAAACAGGAUUAGAUACCCGCGUAGUCCCUGUCUCUUAUAC